RNAcentral lists this small RNA (522 nucleotides) under Arabidopsis thaliana (thale cress). RNAcentral's name for it is "ATSL277340". Lineage: Eukaryota; Viridiplantae; Streptophyta; Magnoliopsida; Brassicales; Brassicaceae. The record is from RNAcentral.
AAAAUAUGAUUAUAUUUUUUUGUUGAUUUUAAUGUUCAUUUUGAUAAAUUCAUCUAUUUAAUAUAAUAAUUAUUUUUUAUGAUUAAAUUCAUCUAUAACUCGAACUAUCAAUUCUAGUACAAUAUUAAUAUUUAUAUAUUUAUUAUUCUAAUAUUUCACUAUCAUGAUCACAUACAACAACAAUAUAUGAUAUAUUGAUACGAUAUAUGUAGUUAUAUUACUUAUGUGUUUUGAAAUUUGUCUAACUUAUUGUAACAAACAAUUAUUUAUUCCAUAUAUUCUCUCGUCAUCUAGUACACAAUCACAUCAUGAUAUGCUAGUAAUUUAAGUCAACAUUUUAAUUCUCAUCCCUACUAUAUAGUCAUAUAGAGUCUCGUUUUUUUUUUUGUAUGUCUAAUGUUUUGGAUAACUAUUACGUGAAAAAAUUGUAUAUCAAUGUUACAAAGUUAUCAGAACUCACAAAAAUGUACAGAAAGAAGGUCAUAUGAUAAAUCAAAUUUACAAAACGUAAUAAUAAAAAAA